This 295-nucleotide long non-coding RNA is filed under the name Coturnix japonica (Japanese quail). RNAcentral describes it as "lncRNA (ENSCJPG00005005056.1)". The record is from RNAcentral. Lineage: Eukaryota; Metazoa; Chordata; Aves; Galliformes; Phasianidae.
AUGAAGUUCUCUCUCCUGCCUCAGUGGAUAAGGAUUCAAAGAAGGAGCAGUUUUAAGCUGCAUUUUUGCCAUGUUCUGUUGAGGAUCUCUAGAGGUUCAGUUGAUCACCCACCCGCAUCUAAGCACAGAUUCCAGUCCUUGUCCGUAGAGGAAAACAGUGAUCCAUUGCUUACCAAAAUUUGUCAGAUCCUAUCAAUGAGGGAAGUCUGCUCUGAGCAAAAGUUCAAACAUUUCGUGAACAACUGGAGAUCUUCUGAACUGAUAACUUAACUGAUAACUUAGUCCAAGGAGAACA